GGAAAAGGAGAAUAGGUAAUUAGAUAAUAGUAAGAUAAAUUGCAAAAUUAAUAUAAAAGUGUAAUUUAUAUAAAUAAACGUUUGACUAUCCUAAGACCAUCAUAAGACACCUCUCGUGUUGUCCUAACUUUAUGACCAACUUUUAGAGCUAUCCUAAUUUAGGACCACUUUGUGAAACCCACUUAGGACUUAGAUAUGUCG
RNAcentral lists this long non-coding RNA (201 nucleotides) under Mytilus galloprovincialis (Mediterranean mussel). Lineage: Eukaryota; Metazoa; Mollusca; Bivalvia; Mytilida; Mytilidae. The record is from RNAcentral.